This 1317-nucleotide ribosomal RNA is filed under the name uncultured Alphaproteobacteria bacterium. Its description in RNAcentral is "bacterial SSU rRNA". It matches the Rfam family "Bacterial small subunit ribosomal RNA", at positions 27 to 1391 of the family's 1533-position model. The record is from RNAcentral. Lineage: Bacteria; Pseudomonadati; Pseudomonadota; Alphaproteobacteria.
GAACGUACGCUGGCGGCACGCCUAACACAUGCAAGUCGAACGCAGUAGCAAUACUGAGUGGCAAACGGGUGAGUAUAAUGUGGGAAUCUGCCUUUUGGUUUGGAAUAACACGAGGAAACUUGUGCUAAUACCGGAUAAGUCUUUACGGAGAAAGCUUUAUGCACCAUUGGAUGAGCCUGCACUUGAUUAGUUUGUUGGUGGGGUAAUGGCCUACCAAGACUGUGAUCAAUAGCUGAUUUGAGAGGAUGAUCAGCCACAUUGGGACUGAGACACGGCCCAAACUCCUACGGGAGGCAGCAGUGGGGAAUCUUGCACAAUGGAGGAAACUCUGAUGCAGCGAUGCCGCGUGAGUGAAGAAGGCCCUUGGGUUGUAAAGCUCUUUCGUCGGGGAAGAAAAUGACUGUACCCGAAUAAGAAGGUCCGGCUAACUUCGUGCCAGCAGCCGCGGUAAUACGAAGGGACCUAGCGUAGUUCGGAAUUACUGGGCUUAAAGAGUUCGUAGGUGGUUGAAAAAGUUAGUGGUGAAAUCCCAGAGCUUAACUCUGGAACUGCCAUUAAAACUUUUCAGCUAGAGUAUGAUAGAGGAAAGCAGAAUUUCUAGUGUAGAGGUGAAAUUCGUAGAUAUUAGAAAGAAUACCAAUUGCGAAGGCAGCUUUCUGGAUCAUUACUGACACUGAGGAACGAAAGCAUGGGUAGCGAAGAGGAUUAGAUACCCUCGUAGUCCAUGCCGUAAACGAUGUGUGUUAGACGUUGGAAAUUUAUUUUCAGUGUCGCAGCGAAAGCGAUAAACACACCGCCUGGGGAGUACGACCGCAAGGUUAAAACUCAAAUGAAUUGACGGGGACCCGCACAAGUAGUGGAGCAUGUGGUUUAAUUCGAAGAUACGCGCAGAACCUUACCAACACUUGACAUGUUCGUCGCGACUCUAAGAGAUUAGAGUUUUCGGUUCGGCCGGACGAAACACAGGUGCUGCAUGGCUGUCGUCAGCUCGUGUCGUGAGAUGUUGGGUUAAGUCCCGCAACGAGCGCAACCCUCACUUUUAGUUGCCAUCAUUAAGUUGGGCACUCUGAAAGAACUGCCAGUGAUAAGCUGGAGGAAGGUGGGGAUGACGUCAAGUCCUCAUGGCCCUUACGUGUUGGGCUACACACGUGCUACAAUGGUAUCUACAACAGGAAGCAAGACUGCGAAGUUAAGCAAAUCCCUAAAAGAUACCUCAGUUCGGAUUGCACUCUGCAACUCGAGUGCAUGAAGCUGGAAUUACUAGUAAUCGUGGAUCAGCGUGCCACGGUGAAUGCGUUCCCGGGUCUUGUACUCACC